AGGUGGGGAGACUCUUUGAGGUGAUGUCUGUCUCAUUAUUCCUUAUAGGCUUUAACGUUGGCUAGUGAUUUUUGUCUCAGUCAACUACUGUGACGAUGGCAAGAUGGUUUGUGUCAAUUAGAUGUGCAUCCUCCUUGACUCUGUGAACUCCAGAGCCAGACUGGGUCACGGAAGCUGUGAGGUGCCUGGCCGUACCCCUCCCUGUCUCUGCCUCCUGAAGUCUGGCCUACCAUCUCCAGAAGGCUCCAGUGGAGUUCCAGAACAAUGCUGAAGACUCAGGAAGAGUGAAAGAGAGAUUUAGGGCCCAGGGUGACAACAUCAGAUCCACAGAACUUGCCUCUAGGCCUCAUUCCUGGCUCCAGGUAAACCAGGGGGUUGUGGGUAAGACUGGGGCGAUUUGGUGCGGCCUCUGCACCUUGAACCUUCUAUUGUGUCCCCAGUCUUAUUCUUGUUGAAGGCCUCAGCAGAUUUUUCCUCUGAGCUGGUAUAUUAGGGUUCUCUAGAGGGACAGGACCAACAGAGCGUGUAGGUAAUUGUGAGAGGGAAUUUAUUAGAUGGGUUUACGUGAUCAAAGUCUGGAUAGUCCUACAAGGGCAGUCUGAAGGCCGGAGAACCAGAGAAACCUGCAGCUGCCACUCCAAGAAGCUAAAAACCUCAGGACAAGAGGAUCCAAUGAUGCAGCUCUUGUCUGAAACUCGAGGCUUCCUGGAGAGUGGCUGGUAUGAAUUUGCACUCAAAGGCUGAAGAAUCUGGAGUCAGAUGACUGUGGGCAAAGGCAGCAGCAAGAUCCACUCGCACUUGAGAAGAGUCCAACUUGCUUGUGACUUCGAGCUUCCCCCUUCCUCCACUUUUUGUUCUACCUGGGCUCCCAGCCUGCUGGAUGGUGCUGGCUGCUUUCGGGGGCAGCUCUUCCUCACUCAGUUUGCUAAUCCACAUGCCCAGGGUAUGUGGAAACACCCUCACAGACACACCCAGAUGUGUGCUUGGCUAAUGUUC
This 996-nucleotide long non-coding RNA is filed under the name Marmota monax (woodchuck). Lineage: Eukaryota; Metazoa; Chordata; Mammalia; Rodentia; Sciuridae. The record is from RNAcentral.